RNAcentral lists this ribosomal RNA (393 nucleotides) under uncultured bacterium. RNAcentral's name for it is "bacterial SSU rRNA". It matches the Rfam family "Bacterial small subunit ribosomal RNA", at positions 30 to 416 of the family's 1533-position model. The record is from RNAcentral.
AUUGAACGCUGGCGGCAGGCCUAACACAUGCAAGUCGAACGGUAACAGGAAGAAGCUUGCUUCUUUGCUGACGAGUGGCGGACGGGUGAGUAAUGUCUGGGAAACUGCCUGAUGGAGGGGGAUAACUACUGGAAACGGUAGCUAAUACCGCAUAACGUCGCAAGACCAAAAAGGGGGACCUUCGGGCCUCUUGCCAUCGGAUGUGCCCAGAUGGGAUUAGCUAGUAGGUGGGGUAACGGCUCACCUAGGCGACGAUCCCUAGCUGGUCUGAGAGGACGACCAGCCACACUGGAACUGAGACACGGUCCAGACUCCUACGGGAGGCAGCAGUGGGGAAUAUUGCACAAAUGGGCGCAAGCCUGAUGCAGCCAUGCCGCGUGUAUGAAGAAGGCC